RNAcentral lists this ribosomal RNA (467 nucleotides) under uncultured bacterium. RNAcentral describes it as "bacterial SSU rRNA". It matches the Rfam family "Bacterial small subunit ribosomal RNA", at positions 28 to 492 of the family's 1533-position model. The record is from RNAcentral.
GAUGAACGCUGGCGGCGUGCUUAACACAUGCAAGUCGAACGAAGCACUCUAUUUGAUUUUCUUCGGAAAUGAAGAUUUUGUGACUGAGUGGCGGACGGGUGAGUAACGCGUGGGUAACCUGCCUCAUACAGGGGGAUAACAGUUGGAAACGACUGCUAAUACCGCAUAAGCGCACAGGAUCGCAUGAUCCGGUGUGAAAAACUCCGGUGGUAUGAGAUGGACCCGCGUCUGAUUAGCCAGUUGGCAGGGUAACGGCCUACCAAAGCGACGAUCAGUAGCCGACCUGAGAGGGUGACCGGCCACAUUGGGACUGAGACACGGCCCAAACUCCUACGGGAGGCAGCAGUGGGGAAUAUUGCACAAUGGGGGAAACCCUGAUGCAGCGACGCCGCGUGAGCGAAGAAGUAUUUCGGUAUGUAAAGCUCUAUCAGCAGGGAAGAAGAAUGACGGUACCUGACUAAGAAGCA